GGACGUAAGGGCAACCUGGCUGUGACUUCUGUCAACCCACUGAUCGCCAGGGUUGGUUGUUUGGGCUGGCUAGGUGGGGGUCUCCAUCCUCCCUCACCACUCCAUGUGCACCCCCCAAAAAACUGUGUGCUUGGUAAAAGAGGAUGACCUUUCCCAAACAGAGGGGUUCCAGUCUUCCAUUAAGAGUAUGCGAGUAGAUGCAAUUCCCUGCUAGAACCUCAAAACAAACUCUCAAAAGACUUAACAGACACAGAACCUCUACCUUUGUACUUAACUCCUCUGCCUCAUUCAUCUGUCACCAAUGUGGGC
RNAcentral lists this small nuclear RNA (309 nucleotides) under Jaculus jaculus (lesser Egyptian jerboa). Its description in RNAcentral is "7SK RNA (ENSJJAG00000001547.1)". It matches the Rfam family "7SK RNA". Rfam says of the family: 7SK was discovered as an abundant small nuclear RNA in the mid-70s but a possible function has only recently been suggested. Two independent studies have found that 7SK RNA binds the CDK9/cyclin T complex (known as elongation factor P-TEFb). The record is from Rfam by way of RNAcentral. Lineage: Eukaryota; Metazoa; Chordata; Mammalia; Rodentia; Dipodidae.